ACUUUUGAGAACCUUUUCUGAAAAAUGUAAAGCUGCCAGAGUUUCAGUGCCUGCCUGCCUGCUGCUAAACUAAGACCAGAUGAUGGAGCAGUGCUGCUGCGUCCAAGCCGAGUACGUCAACCCCGGGAAUGAGAGCUCCUGGCAACAGCUCCAGCGUUGCAAAGACAGAAAGAGGAAAUGGGGGACAGGAGGGCAUCCAGGCAGCUGAAAAGGACAUAAUGGAAGAGAAGGGAUCCACGCUAGUCACAAACAGGCAGCCUUAUGCAUCAGCACCAGAGCUGCAGUGGCACAAAGCAAGGCAGGUUUGCCCCUUCUGUCCAGCAAAACAAUCGCUUUAUUAGUCUUUACAAAAAAAAGUCUUCCGUAAGUAUAUACUCUACCCGAGUCUUGGCAAAACUUUUUGUUGUUGCUUCUGAAUAUCAGCGUCUUUUCAAGAUGUUUUCUAAUGUAGUUUUCUA
RNAcentral lists this long non-coding RNA (458 nucleotides) under Anser brachyrhynchus (Pink-footed goose). Its description in RNAcentral is "lncRNA (ENSABRG00000001652.1)". The record is from RNAcentral. Lineage: Eukaryota; Metazoa; Chordata; Aves; Anseriformes; Anatidae.